AUUUUUUUAAAUUAAAGUUGAGAAACAGUCGCAUGGUGUAAGUCAAUGUGUGUGCUUGAGUGUUAAUAUAGCUUGGCCAUUGACUUUGCUAUGGAAAUAGGCAUGGAGGGCUACAACGCUGAAUAGUGUAGUUAGUUUACUUGUACAUGCUUAUGUUGUAGUAUUGGGGUUAGUGGGUAUGCCUGCUGUACAGCUAGCGUUAGGUAUAACGUUGUUA
Non-coding RNA from Pelobates cultripes (western spadefoot toad), 217 nucleotides. The record is from the annotation of a GenBank genome assembly. Lineage: Eukaryota; Metazoa; Chordata; Amphibia; Anura; Pelobatidae.